UUGAUGUGAUGAGUCAAGAACUCUCCUUUAAGAAACUUUCACCUAGCUUUGUACAGCUCUUAAGCUCUCAAAAGCACAAAAAGUAGGUUGACUCCAGGCCUCUCUCCCAAAAAACAAGAUUCCAAAACUUCAAUUUCACCAGCAGCUGUGAGCAUCUCAACACAGCUCCAUUUCAAUGAAAUGAACAGUUGCAUAAAAUAGCCAACUAUCAGUCAUUCAGGGAUGCAUCAUUUCAGCUUACAGAUACCCAAGACCGCAUCCGUCCCCACCUUCUUUUUGGGAUCCAGCCAUUUCCACCUCAGAAGAUCUCAGGAUAAAGAAUAUACGCUACAUAACUUCAAGAUUCUAAGGCAGACACUGAAGUAUUCAAAAACAAGGCACUCAUGAUGUAAAUAUACCCAAAAGGCACUAAGAGAUUGAUACAACAGGUAUUAGAAUAAUGGUAUCUGUCGCCAAAUGGCAAAGUAUAUGGCACUGGUCAUUUAACUCAUUAUUUUGAAAUUUUUCUAAAUGAGAAAAUCAAGGCUCAGAUGUAAAUGUUCUUUAAACGUUCUAGAAAUGGUAACAGUGUUAAUAGAGUUGUGUGGCCACAGGAUACCAUACUUUCUCACAUGUUAACUAAAACAUUACACCACCUGCCUCUUCACGUAAGCUAUUUGUGAUUAUUAUCCAAAAGUAAACUCUAACAGUUAAUCUAUCUUGAAGUUUCUUAAAAUUCUUCUGCACUCAUGCUAACAAAAGUCUAAAUUAAGAACGUGAA
Herpailurus yagouaroundi (jaguarundi) is the source of this 760-nucleotide long non-coding RNA. RefSeq lists it as uncharacterized. NCBI's taxonomy places the organism in Eukaryota, Metazoa, Chordata, Mammalia, Carnivora, Felidae. The record is from RefSeq and is a predicted model, not a curated record. The transcript is spliced from 2 exons.